GUACACGCUGUGACUAGCAUAUCAAUAAGCGGAGGAAAAGAAACUAACAAGGAUUCCCUCAGUAACGGCGAGUGAAGCGGGAAGAGCUCAAAUUUGAAAUCUUGAAAGGUCACCUUUCACGAAUUGUAGUUUAAAGAAGUGUUUUCUGUUACGAUCGUAAUAUAAGUUCUUUGGAAUAGGACAUCACAGAGGGUGAGAAUCCCGUCUAUGAUUGCGAUUUGUAGCUUUGUGAUACACUUUCAAAGAGUCGGGUUGUUUGGGAAUGCAGCCCAAAACGGGAGGUAAAUUUCUCCUAAGGCUAAAUAUUGGCGAGAGACCGAUAGCGAACAAGUACCGUGAGGGAAAGAUGAAAAGAACUUUUGAAAAGAGAGUUAAAUAGUACGUGAAAUUGUCAAAAGGGAAGCGUUUAACACCAGUGUUGUUUUCUGAAAAUCAACCUCUGCUAGCUUUAUGCAUGUUUGUUUAGACCUAAUCAGCUAUCUUUCAUGUUCUAUUGUUUGCAGUGGUGCACUUUUCAGUUUACAGGUCAACAUCAGUUUUUUUUACCGUAAAAAAGUUAAAGAAAGGUAGCUCAUGGCUCCGGUCGUGAGUGUUAUAGUCUUUUUCCUAUGCGGUAGGAGAGACUGAGGUCUGCAGUGUAGGCUAUUUGGCUAGAUACUCAGGUGCUAUGUGAUACCAUUUCAUAAACAACUUGUUGAUUAUGUUUUGUCUAUUGCAUACUCGCUUGUACUAUCAUACCUACGCUUAGGAUGUUGAGUAGCGACAUACGCAC
Molecule: ribosomal RNA, 772 nt
Filed under: uncultured Neocallimastigales
Lineage: Eukaryota; Fungi; Neocallimastigomycota; Neocallimastigomycetes; Neocallimastigales
Description: partial large subunit ribosomal RNA
Rfam family: Eukaryotic large subunit ribosomal RNA (bases 4-662)
Source: RNAcentral